This 301-nucleotide ribosomal RNA is filed under the name uncultured bacterium. RNAcentral's name for it is "partial 16S ribosomal RNA". It matches the Rfam family "Bacterial small subunit ribosomal RNA", at positions 509 to 807 of the family's 1533-position model. The record is from RNAcentral.
CAGUAGCCGCGGUAAUACGAAGGGGGCUAGCGUUGUUCGGAAUCACUGGGCGUAAAGCGCACGUAGGCGGACUUUUAAGUCAGGGGUGAAAUCCCAAGGCUCAACCUUGGAACUGCCUUUGAUACUGGAAGUCUUGAGUUCGGGAGAGGUGAGUGGAACUGCGAGUGUAGAGGUGAAAUUCGUAGAUAUUCGCAAGAACACCAGUGGCGAAGGCGGCUCACUGGCCCGAUACUGACGCUGAGGUGCGAAAGCGUGGGGAGCAAACAGGAUUAGAUACCCCCGUAGUCCCUGUCUCUUAUAC